AUGAACGCUAGCGGCAGGCUUAACACAUGCAAGUCGAGGGGCAGCGUGGAGUAGCAAUACUCUGACGGCGACCGGCGGAAGGGUGCGUAACACGUGAGCGACUUGCCCGAUACGGGGAGAUAACCGGUGGAAACGCCGACUAAUAUCCCAUACGACUUGAGGCUGCAUGGCCUUGAGUUGAAAGGUUCGCCGGUAUCGGAUAGGCUCGCGGGACAUUAGCUUGAUGGCGGGGCAACGGCCCACCAUGGCGACGAUGUCUAGGGGUUCUGAGAGGAAGACCCCCCACACUGGGACUGAGACACGGCCCAGACUCCUACGGGAGGCAGCAGUGAGGAAUAUUGGUCAAUGGGCGGAAGCCUGAACCAGCCAUGCCGCGUGAAGGACUAAGGCCCUAUGGGUCGUAAACUUCUUUAGACGCAGAGCAAUAAGGGCCUCGUGAGGUCCGAUGAGAGUAUGCGUAGAAUAAGCAUCGGCUAACUCCGUGCCAGCAGCCGCGGUAAUACGGGGGAUGCGAGCGUUAUCCGGAUUUAUUGGGUUUAAAGGGUGCGUAGGCGGCGAAUUAAGUCAGCGGUGAAAGACCGGGGCUCAACCCUGGAAGUGCCGUUGAUACUGAUUGGCUAGAAUACCCUUGCCGUGGGAGGAAUGAGUGGUGUAGCGGUGAAAUGCAUAGAUAUCACUCAGAACACCGAUUGCGAAGGCAUCUCACGAAGGGGCGAUUGACGCUGAGGCACGAAAGCGUGGGGAUCGAACAGGAUUAGAUACCCUGGUAGUCCACGCAGUAAACGAUGAUGGCUAACUGUCGGGCCUGAGGGUUCGGCGGCCAAGCGAAAGCGAUAAGCCAUCCACCUGGGGAGUACGACCGCAAGGUUGCAACUCAAAU
Molecule: ribosomal RNA, 880 nt
Filed under: uncultured Bacteroidota bacterium
Lineage: Bacteria; Pseudomonadati; Bacteroidota
Description: bacterial SSU rRNA
Rfam family: Bacterial small subunit ribosomal RNA
Source: RNAcentral